Chelonia mydas (Green sea turtle) is the source of this 2078-nucleotide long non-coding RNA. RefSeq lists it as uncharacterized. The transcript has 6 exons. Lineage: Eukaryota; Metazoa; Chordata; Testudines; Cheloniidae. The record is from RefSeq and is a predicted model, not a curated record.
AUCCAGGAGUGAGGGACGCUGGAGUUCUUGCUCUGUGAGAAGGGCUUGACAGAAGCUGGGUGGAGCGAGAACCUAAGAUGGCCUCAAAACUCAAGCCCAGGCUAAGUGGAAGUUGCAUAGCUUGUAUUCGUGUCUGUGUGCUGAGAGUUGCUGAGGGACUCCAGGGGGCAGCGCUGGGAGCUGCUGCUCUGGAAGAAGAGUGAGGCUGAAAAGGAGGCAUUGAAGAAAUGGUGUUUGCCAUUGUUUUGUGGGCCAUUAGUUGUUUGGGACAUUGACACCCUGGAAGGGAUGGAACUAAAGGGUGACCUGGCUGGCAGGCCGAGUCACCACCACUGAAGUCCCGGGGAAAGAGAGGCAGAGGCUCGAAGUGCUGUCCUUUUUUGUAUGGCAAGAGAAGUCCAGAUCAGUGAGUUGAUGGAGCAUUUCCUGCAGGUGUGACGGGGUGGGGCUGGCUGAGCCCAGAACAAUCCCUUCACCCCUUGUUGCCCAGUGUGGGGUUUGUACACCCCAUCACAAGGUGUGAUUGCUGUAUGGGCUGAUUGAAAUGUGCCAGCCUGAAUUAGCUACCCCAGGUUUUAGAGAACACUUCUUUUACGUGGAAAUACUUGGUCAAUUGACAGUGGCUGUGUAACACCUAUGUCAGAGACGUCUAAGUCAGGAAUAGCGGGGUGAAAUUGAAAAAGGGAAACGUAAGGCCAAAGAUGAAGAAAAACGUCCUGACUGUGAGAUGCAUCGGCAGAGGACUAGUCUCCCAGGGAGAAAUGUUGGAGGCCUCAUUGCUUGGAACUUUUCAAACCAGAUUGGACACAGGACUCGCAGAUAUACGGGUGUUGCUAAUGAGCAAUGAAAGGCACUCAGCCCAAUCUGAGCCUGAACAUGCCGGUUCAAAGUCACCCCAGAUGUGUGUGUGACGUCAUUGACUGCUGGGGGGUGCUUAGACCUUCCUCUGAAGCAUCUAGUCCUGACAGGAAGCUGCUCUUGUUCUUAAGGCACUGGACAUGGGUCUAGGUUCAAUUCCUGGGUCGUCCAGAGACUCCCUGGGGGACCUUGUGGAAGUCACUCCAUUUCUCCGUUCCUCAUCUGAAAAACGGGGCUGAAGACAGUGCUUCCUUCUCGGCAGAUGCUUCUACUGGACUCAGUGUUCUUCGCUUCCACUCCAGAUCUGCUGUACAGGGUUGCUGUGCGCUGCCAGGCCGUUGUCGUAUUCAUCUCAAGAGUGGGACAGAACAAAUCAUUUGCCUUGAGUCACGCAGUCAAUGAAUGCAGGACGCUCCUGCGGCUUGUGAAGGAUCAGUCAGCAGGGGAUGACUUCCUAAGAUUUAUUCAAGAAGUGGUUGCAGGUUUCCCCCAGCAGCGCUGCCCAAGAGCUAGAUGCGUUUCUGAUGGACGAGUCUGCCUGUCUGCAGUGUUGUUGUGGUUGUGUUGGUCCCAGAAUAUUAGAGAGACAAGGUGGGCGAUAUCUUUUAUUCGAUUGGACCAACUUCUGCUGGUGACAGAGACAAACUUUCAAGCUACAUCGAGCUCUCCUUCGGGUCUGGGACAGGUACUCCCAGCAUCACAGCUAAAUACAAGUGGAACAGAUUAUUUAGCACAGGUAGUGAGCGGCACAUAUUCCAAGGGACCAUUCAGGCCCGUUAAGACCUCUGCAGUCACAGGACAAAUAAGGGGGGGGGGGGGGUUAGUGAGUUACAGAUUGUUGUAAUAAGCCAUAAAUCCAGUGUCUCUGUUCAGUCCAUGAUGUUUAGUGUCUUGCAGACCUACGAAUUUAAGCUCCCAGUCUCACCUUUUUGAAGGAAUUGUGCAGGUUUCCUUUGAGGACGAGGCCUGAGAGGUCAGCUAUAGAGCGAUCGCUUUGUGACAAGUGCUCACCCACAGGUGACAGGGUGUUUUUGUCUUUUAUCAUUUUUCAGUGUGAGUUCACUGGCGAGCCUAGCGAUUGUCUGGUUUCACCCAUGUAUUGUUAUUGGGGCAUUUAGUGCACUGGAGGAGGUACACCCCAUGUUGGGAUAGGCAUGUGUAGGACCCAUGGCUCUUGAAAGGUGUGUUGGGGUGGGAGUUGAUCAUUGUAGAAGUAGCGA